This 25-nucleotide non-coding RNA is filed under the name Rattus norvegicus (Norway rat). Lineage: Eukaryota; Metazoa; Chordata; Mammalia; Rodentia; Muridae. The record is from RNAcentral.
GCUGUUCCUGCUGCCGAGUGAGCCC